UGCUAAAUGGACUCAUGGCGGACGGGUGAGUAACGCGUAAAGAACUUGCCCUUUAGACUGGGAUAACAGAGGGAAACUUCUGAUAAUACUGGAUAAGUUAGUAUAUCGCAUGAUAUGCAAAUGAAAGCUACGGCACUAAAGGAGAGCUUUGCGUCCUAUUAGCUAGUUGGUAAGGUAAGAGCUUACCAAGGCGAUGAUAGGUAGCCGGCCUGAGAGGGUGGACGGCCACAAGGGGACUGAGAUACGGCCCUUACUCCUACGGGAGGCAGCAGUGGGGAAUAUUGGACAAUGGAGGGAACUCUGAUCCAGCAAUUCUGUGUGUGAAGAAGGUUUUAGGACUGUAAAACACUUUUAGUAGGGAAGAAAAAAAUGACGGUACCUACAGAAGAAGCAACGGCUAAAUACGUGCCAGCAGCCGCGGUAAUACGUAUGUUGCGAGCGUUAUCCGGAAUUAUUGGGCUUAAAGGGCAUCUAGGCGGUAAGACAAGUUGAAGGUGAAAACCUGUGGCUCAACCAUAGGCUUGCCUACAAAACUGUUGAACUAGAGUACUGGAAAGGUGGGUGGAACUACACGAGUAGAGGUGAAAUUCGUAGAUAUGUGUAGGAAUGCCGAUGAUGAAGAUAACUCACUGGACAGAAACUGACGCUGAAGUGCGAAAGCUAGGGGAGCGAACAGGAUUAGAUACCCUGGUAGUCCUAGCUGUAAACGAUGAUCACUGGGUGUGGGGAUGCGAAGUCUCUGUGCCGAAGCAAAAGCGAUAAGUGAUCCGCCU
Molecule: ribosomal RNA, 773 nt
Filed under: uncultured Streptobacillus sp.
Lineage: Bacteria; Fusobacteriati; Fusobacteriota; Fusobacteriia; Fusobacteriales; Leptotrichiaceae
Description: bacterial SSU rRNA
Rfam family: Bacterial small subunit ribosomal RNA
Source: RNAcentral